Cheilinus undulatus (humphead wrasse) is the source of this 191-nucleotide small nuclear RNA. RefSeq annotates it as U2 spliceosomal RNA. NCBI's taxonomy places the organism in Eukaryota, Metazoa, Chordata, Actinopteri, Labriformes, Labridae. The transcript has a single exon. The record is from RefSeq and is a predicted model, not a curated record.
UUCUCUUCUCAGCUUUUGGGCUAAGAUCAAGUGUAGUCUCUGUUCUUAUCGGUUUAAUAUCUGAUACGUCCCCUACCUGGGCACCAUGUAUUAAAUUGAUUUUUGGAACAGGAAGUUGAAAUAGGGGCUUGCUCCGUCCACUCCAUGCAUUGACAUGGUAUCGCAAUACCUCCAGGAGCGGUGUACCCUUC